CGGGUUGUAAAGUACUUUCAGCAGUGAGGAAGGUGGUAUGUUAAUAGCAUACUCAUUUGACGUUAGCUGCAGAAGAAGCACCGGCUAACUCCGUGCCAGCAGCCGCGGUAAUACGGAGGGUGCGAGCGUUAAUCGGAAUUACUGGGCGUAAAGCGCAUGCAGGUGGUUUGUUAAGUCAGAUGUGAAAGCCCGGGGCUCAACCUCGGAAUUGCAUUUGAAACUGGCAAACUAGAGUACUGUAGAGGGGGUAGAAUUUCAGGUGUAGCGGUGAAAUGCGUAGAGAUCUGAAGGAAUACCGGUGGCGAAGGCGGCCCCCUGGACAGAUACUGACACUCAGAUGCGAAAGCGUGGGGAGCAAACAGGAUUAGAUACCCUGGUAG
This 380-nucleotide ribosomal RNA is filed under the name uncultured bacterium. RNAcentral's name for it is "bacterial SSU rRNA". It matches the Rfam family "Bacterial small subunit ribosomal RNA", at positions 419 to 793 of the family's 1533-position model. The record is from RNAcentral.